Drosophila innubila is the source of this 252-nucleotide long non-coding RNA. RefSeq lists it as uncharacterized. The record is from RefSeq and is a predicted model, not a curated record. The transcript is spliced from 2 exons. NCBI's taxonomy places the organism in Eukaryota, Metazoa, Arthropoda, Insecta, Diptera, Drosophilidae.
UUAAAUACAAAUUACAGAUAAUGGAUGAAAAUUAAAAUAUCGAAAAUCGAUUAAAGUACAGUUGUAUAUGAUAGCUUUUUGAGAGUAUUACAACAUCGGUGGGCUUUUGGAAGCACAGCGUGAUUAGGAGAGAGAGGGAUAGAGAGUGGGAGAGUGAUGGAAUGGCAAAGCAAAGCAUAAACUGCGAUUAACGGCGACUGUUGCCGGCGCCGACAUCCAAUCAGCAGAGCGAGAGGCAGAGAGUGAGAGAGC